RNAcentral lists this transfer RNA (76 nucleotides) under Nitrosospira sp. RNAcentral's name for it is "tRNA-Asn". It matches the Rfam family "tRNA". Rfam says of the family: Transfer RNA (tRNA) molecules are approximately 80 nucleotides in length. Their secondary structure includes four short double-helical elements and three loops (D, anti-codon, and T loops). Further hydrogen bonds mediate the characteristic L-shaped molecular structure. tRNAs have two regions of fundamental functional importance: the anti-codon, which is responsible for specific mRNA codon recognition, and the 3' end, to which the tRNAs corresponding amino acid is attached (by aminoacyl-tRNA synthetases). tRNAs cope with the degeneracy of the genetic code in two manners: having more than one tRNA (with a specific anti-codon) for a particular amino acid; and 'wobble' base-pairing, i.e. permitting non-standard base-pairing at the 3rd anti-codon position. RNAcentral also lists the same sequence under 9 other names. Lineage: Bacteria; Pseudomonadati; Pseudomonadota; Betaproteobacteria; Nitrosomonadales; Nitrosomonadaceae. The record is from RNAcentral.
UCCCUGAUAGCUCAGUUGGUAGAGCGACGGACUGUUAAUCCGCAGGUCCCAGGUUCGAGCCCUGGUCGGGGAGCCA